AACGAACGCUGGCGGCAGGCUUAACACAUGCAAGUCGAACGCAUCCUUCGGGGUGAGUGGCAGACGGGUGAGUAACGCGUGGGAACGUGCCCUUCAGUUCGGGAUAACCCAGGGAAACUUGGGCUAAUACCGGAUACGUGCGAGAGCAGAAAGAUUUAUCGCUGAAGGAUCGGCCCGCGUCUGAUUAGCUAGUUGGUGGGGUAAUGGCCCACGAAGGAGACGAUCAGUAGCUGGUCUGAGAGGAUGAUCAGCCACAUUGGGACUGAGACACGGCCCAAACUCCUACGGGAGGCAGCAGUGGGGAAUAUUGGACAAUGGGCGCAAGCCUGAUCCAGCCAUGCCGCGUGAGUGAUGAAGGCCUUAGGGUUGUAAGGCUCUUUCGUCCGGGACGAUAAUGACGGUACCGGAAGAAGAAGCCCCGGCUAACUUCGUGCCAGCAGCCGCCGUAA
RNAcentral lists this ribosomal RNA (449 nucleotides) under uncultured bacterium. RNAcentral's name for it is "partial 16S ribosomal RNA". It matches the Rfam family "Bacterial small subunit ribosomal RNA", at positions 29 to 523 of the family's 1533-position model. The record is from RNAcentral.